GAGGAAUAUUGGUCAAUGGACGCAAGUCUGAACCAGCCAAGUAGCGUGCAGGAUGACGGCCCUCUGGGUUGUAAACUGCUUUUAGUUGGGAAUAAAAAAGAGGACGUGUCCUCUAUUGUAUGUACCUUCAGAAAAAGGACCGGCUAAUUCCGUGCCAGCAGCCGCGGUAAUACGGAAGGUCCAGGCGUUAUCCGGAUUUAUUGGGUUUAAAGGGAGCGUAGGCGGAUUAUUAAGUCAGUGGUGAAAGACGGUGGCUCAACCAUCGUUAGCCAUUGAAACUGGUAGUCUUGAGUGCAGACAGGGAUGCUGAAACUCGUGGUGUAGCGGUGAAAUGCUUAGAUAUCACGAUGAACUCCGAUCGCGAAGGCAGGUGUCCGGGCUGCAACUGACGCUGAGGCUCGAAAGUGUGGGUAUCAAACAGGAUUAGAUACCCUGGUAGUCCACACAGUAAACGAUGUAUACUCGCGGUUUGCGAUAGACAGUAAGCCGCCAAGCGAAAGCAUUAAGUAUACCACCUGGGGAGUACGCCGGCAACGGUG
Molecule: ribosomal RNA, 539 nt
Filed under: uncultured bacterium
Lineage: Bacteria
Description: bacterial SSU rRNA
Rfam family: Bacterial small subunit ribosomal RNA
Source: RNAcentral